This 1997-nucleotide long non-coding RNA is filed under the name Theobroma cacao (cacao). RNAcentral's name for it is "long non-coding RNA (TCAC_LNC000592)". Lineage: Eukaryota; Viridiplantae; Streptophyta; Magnoliopsida; Malvales; Malvaceae. The record is from RNAcentral.
UGAAAACGACUCAUAAAAUCCAGUCAUGUAUUCAUAAUGGCAUCAUCAACCAUUAUAUACAUAUAUAUAAUUUGACAAGUGAAUCUCAGCAUUUCACAACAAAUAGUCAUCUACACGUAAUUAGAACUUGACUGUCAACGGAGUGACUCUGGGCACGGUUGCUAACGUUUAGUGUCAUGUUAAACCUACUGAGCAAUAGAUAGGGAGGAACACCUCGUCUUAGGAUCCAAUCACCUUUAACUUAAGAAACCUAAAACAUAAAUUUUAAAAACGUGAGUAUAAACUCAGUGAGUGAACAUGGGAAGGGAACAAGCAAUUAUAAGGAAUGAUUUAGAAAUCAUGAUGCACUUAAAUUCGAAAACAGUGCAACCUAGUUCAAGUUCUUAUUAAAAUCCUUCCAUCAACUCCGGGUUAUUAAAUCAUUUGAUAAUGAAGGAACCAUAUUUAGCAGGAAAUCGGAAAGAGAGAAAAUUUUCAGCAAUCAUCCAAGUAAGGUAGUAUAAACAGAAUGUUCUUGUUGCAAUAAAAUCAAUUCACAUGUAAAUGGAAAAUUUUCAAGAUUUAUCAUGCCAUAUUAUCACAUAUUAUAAUCAUAAUCUUUCUAUUGCAUAUACAUAUGCUUAAGCAUAUAUCAAUUAAUAUACCACCACACCUCAUCUAGCUCAUGUAUAUCAUCAUCGGCAUGUGCACUGUCCACUCCGCACAUGCAUGGUUGCAUUUGUCACACAAUGGUAUCAUUUAUGACAUAGUAUAUAUAUAUAUCCACAUUAUACAGAAACAUAUGAAUUCAUCACACUAUCCAUUUCCUAACAUAAAAACAUUUCAUAAAAGUUUGUUCUCGUGCAAGUUGUUGAAGAAAAACCAAUAAAACGUUUUAGAGGAUUCAAUCAAAUAUAAACGUGUAUAUCCCAAAACAUUUUAAUGCAAGUUCACUCACCUGACAACAACGAGAUAUUAAGUCGCUAUUUGUUCGAAGGUGUCUCUAACUAUUUUCACUGGCUGGUCGCUCGUUAUUUACUCCGACACGCCACCACAAUACUCUAACCUUAUCUUUGCACUUCUUAACAAUAAUACGAACUCAAUAUAUUUAAUUAUAUAUGUAUACGAGCAACACUUCAAUCAAUUAAUCCUUACUCAAAUUUAUAUUUUUCAUCCUAUCAUGAAACCAUCUUCAAUUAACUCACAUCUUAAUACAUUUUUACUAAAAUUACUUAUAUCCAUUGCUUAUGUAAUUCCUUAAAUUAUAUCACUGGCAACUUAAUUAUGAUGUCACGUGUCUACUUCAACCUUUCUAAAUAAGUUCCACCUAAAUCCAUCUUAUACUUCCACACAUAAUCCACAUAUAUGGCAGCAACAACCAUUCUCACUUUCACUCAAUUAUUUCCUAGUUUACAUGUAUUGUUAUCUAUCUAACUUUCAAUACUUUGUUUCUUAAUCCUCGAUCCACAAUAUUCCUUUUUCAUUUCUUUCAAACAACAUGCCAUAUAAUCUUAAUAAUUUUCAACUAACUUAGGCAAAUAAAACCUUUCAACAACCAUAAUUCCUCGCAAUAUUCAACUAACCAUAGGCUUUAAUAUAUAGUGUUAAGCUUACCGUUUUCCUUUUCCACUUUGAGUCCUUCAUGUACCCAUGGGUUUAUUGGCUUACAUGUUACAAUUUUUCUCCAAUCAAGCCAAUCUUUGCUAUCAUAAGACAUUUCUCUAAGUCACUAACUCAUUUUCAAAGACUACUCAAGCCAAAAACUAGAAUUCUUACUGUUCCUUACUUGAAUCACCAAAACCAAGCUUUUUCUUCCUUUCUCUCUUUUUCUUUCUUCUCCUCUUAGGGUUUUGGUAUGCUGGAAAUUGGGGUUAAAGGUUGAAAAUUUAAUGCUCAAGAAGUUUGGAGAAGAAAGGAAAAGAAAACAUGGAAAGGAAAGUGAAGAAAACUUGAUUUCAUGAUGGAUAAAGAGAAAAUGGCAUGAAAGCUUCAAGAAUGGCGUGGAGCAUGGAUGAAGA